RNAcentral lists this transfer RNA (75 nucleotides) under Lachnospiraceae bacterium. Its description in RNAcentral is "tRNA-Pro". It matches the Rfam family "tRNA". From Rfam's summary of the family: Transfer RNA (tRNA) molecules are approximately 80 nucleotides in length. Their secondary structure includes four short double-helical elements and three loops (D, anti-codon, and T loops). Further hydrogen bonds mediate the characteristic L-shaped molecular structure. tRNAs have two regions of fundamental functional importance: the anti-codon, which is responsible for specific mRNA codon recognition, and the 3' end, to which the tRNAs corresponding amino acid is attached (by aminoacyl-tRNA synthetases). tRNAs cope with the degeneracy of the genetic code in two manners: having more than one tRNA (with a specific anti-codon) for a particular amino acid; and 'wobble' base-pairing, i.e. permitting non-standard base-pairing at the 3rd anti-codon position. The record is from RNAcentral. Lineage: Bacteria; Bacillati; Bacillota; Clostridia; Lachnospirales; Lachnospiraceae.
CGGGGUGUGGCUCAGUUUGGCUAGAGCGCCUGGGUUGGGACCAGGAGGUCGCAGGUUCGAAUCCUGUCACCCCGA